This 803-nucleotide ribosomal RNA is filed under the name uncultured bacterium. RNAcentral describes it as "bacterial SSU rRNA". It matches the Rfam family "Bacterial small subunit ribosomal RNA", at positions 8 to 796 of the family's 1533-position model. The record is from RNAcentral.
AGAGUUUGAUCAUGGCUCAGGACGAACGCUGGCGGCGUGCUUAACACAUGCAAGUGGUGCGACGAACCAGGGCUUGCCCUGGGGCAAAGCCGCGAACGGGUGAGUAACACGUGAGUAACCUGCCCCGAUGACCGGGACAACCCAAGGAAACUCGGGCUAAUACCGGAUGUGGCGCACAGAUAUAAGCCUGUGCGCUAAAGGAAGCCUCGGCCUCCGCAUUGGGAGGGGCUCGCGGCCCAUUAGCUUGUUGGUGGGGUAACGGCCUACCAAGGCAACGAUGGGUAGCUGGUCUGAGAGGACGAUCAGCCACACUGGGACUGAGACACGGCCCAGACUCCUACGGGAGGCAGCAGUGGGGAAUCUUGCGCAAUGCGCGAAAGCGUGACGCAGCAACGCCGCGUGGGGGAAGACGGCCUUCGGGUUGUAAACCCCUUUCAGGAGGGACGAAGGUUCACCGGUGAAUAGCCGUGUGGAUUGACGGUACCUCCAGAAGAAGCUCCGGCUAACUACGUGCCAGCAGCCGCGGUAAUACGUAGGGAGCAAGCGUUGUCCGGAAUCAUUGGGCGUAAAGCGCGCGUAGGCGGCCCUGUAAGUCCGUUGUGAAAGUCAAAGGCUCAACCUUUUGAAAGCCGAUGGAUACUGCAGGGCUAGAGUCCGGAAGAGGCGAGUGGAAUUCCUGGUGUAGCGGUGGAAUGCGCAGAUAUCAGGAGGAACACCAAUAGCGAAGGCAGCUCGCUGGGACGGUACUGACGCUAAGGCGCGAAAGCGUGGGGAGCGAACAGGAUUAGAUACCCUAGUAGUCC